Molecule: transfer RNA, 73 nt
Filed under: Deltaproteobacteria bacterium
Lineage: Bacteria; Pseudomonadati; Myxococcota; Myxococcia
Description: tRNA-Phe
Rfam family: tRNA
About the family: Transfer RNA (tRNA) molecules are approximately 80 nucleotides in length.
Source: RNAcentral
GGUCGGGUAGCUCAGUUGGUAGAGUAGAGGAUUGAAAAUCCUUUGGUCGACAGUUCAAGUCUGUCCCUGACCA